GCCCCGCCCCGCCCCGCGCGCCCGCGGCUGCCUCCCGCUGGUGACGUCAGCGCCCGCGGCUUCUUCGCCUUCUUGGCGGGAUCUGCGUUUCUUUAGUUUCUUUGUUAGUCCUUUGUUUGGUCACUGAUGUUCAGGGACGUGUGUGUGCCAGGCAUUGGGGGUACAGCGGUCCCCUGGGCACGUGACCCCUUACCCCCCAGGAGUCCAGAGCUGGGAAAGCGGGUGAAGUUGCAGCCCGUUCCGCCGCACGCCUGGAAGCUUCGCAUGUCCGGGGCUGCGUGGCCCCCAAGGCUACGGUCCUAGUGAAAUAAGAACAGAAGUGGCAGGAGUGACUCCAGGCAGAAGAUUCAAGAGCCAGGACCUGGUUCUUUGAGAUGGUGGAAGCGUGACAAGAUGGAUUCGCACCAGCAAACGCUGGCGAUGUCCCCGUAGGUGAGCCACUGCCUUUCAGGUUGUUACUGUAGCAUAGAGCAGUCUUCCCUGAUCCGGGCAGCCUCUGCGCUAUUUACCAUUUGCUCUGACCCUUCCCCAUAGCAUUCAGUGCCAUCUUUCUAGAAAGGCACCUGAGGAGGUGAUAUCAUUCCCCAUCCCACCCCUUACUAGCUUGGACACUAGACUAACCUGAGACUCCCGUUUCCCUACGUGUAAUUUGAGGAUGCUAGUAGUGUCCACCUUACAGAGAAGUAUUCUGAGGACUGAGUGGCCUAAAUACUGGUAAUUGUCCCCGCUGAUACUAGAGGUAGUGCUGUCACGAUGCCCUGGGUAAGCUGGUCCCCGCCCCACAUCUUGCACCAUCCUCCUGAGUCUGCGUGCUGUCUUUCAGUACCAUGCUCCUAGCUCUUGGCUCCCAGGUUGGUCCUAAAAUGUGGUAUGCAUUCACUUCCCUUCAUCUGCCUCAGUUCCUCAGGAAAGUCCCAGAGCUGCUGGCUGUCGUGUGGUCCUAUAAUAUGCCCACCACCUCUCCUGUCCUUCGAGGCUAUAACCACAUUUCUGUUUGUGAGUUAGUGUUUUCUCGCUAGGUGGUAGGCUCCAUGAGAGAGGUGACUGUCUCUUUUUGGCUCUUGCUGUGUGCUCACCUUCUGACUUGUUACCUCAGUGGUAAGCAGAGGGCCUCCAAAGAUGUCCCCGCUCCAAUCCCUGGAAUAUGUGAAUAUGUUACGUUACGUGACAAAAGGCACUACACGGGUGUAAUUAAGAAUUACAGACCUUAAGAUAGGGGGAUCAUCAUGGAUUAUCUGGGUGGUCCCAGUGUAAUCACACAAGCCCUUAAAAGGAGAGAAUUUUCUCCACUAGACUCGGUGAGAUGCGGCAGAAGGAAAAGUCAGACUUGAAGCAGGAGGAGGACUCAAUGUGCCAUCAUUACUGGCUCUGAAGAUAAAGGGGGCCAGGAGCCUCAGUCGUACAACCACAAGGAACUGAAUUCUGCUAACAACCUUAAUGAACUUGGAGGUGGGUUCUUCCCUAGUUGACUUAGAGACGCUUUGACUUUGGCUGUGCAAGAGCCUAAGCGGAAGACUCAGUCACUUGGUGCUGGACUUCUGACCCAAAGAAACUGUGAGAUAAUAAAUCGGUUUUGUUUUAAGCUGCUAAA
Long non-coding RNA from Canis lupus familiaris (dog), 1591 nucleotides. RefSeq lists it as uncharacterized. The record is from RefSeq and is a predicted model, not a curated record. The transcript is spliced from 2 exons. Lineage: Eukaryota; Metazoa; Chordata; Mammalia; Carnivora; Canidae.